AGGAACCUUGUGUGGGAAGGAAGUAUAGGAACUUUGUGUUGGUAGGAAGUAUAGGAACCAUGUGUGGGUAGGAAGGAUAGGAACCGUGUUUGGUAAGGAAGUAUAGGAACCUUGUGUAGGUAGGAAGUAUAGGAACCUUGUGUGGGUAGGAAGUAUAGGAACCGUGUGUGGGUAGGAAGUAUAGGAACCUCGUGUUGGUAGGAAGUAUGGGAACUGUGUGUGGAUAGGGAGUAUAGGAACCGUGUGUGGGUAGGAAGUAUAGGAACCUUGUGUGGGUAGGAAAUAUAGGAACCGUGUGUGGGAAGGAAGUACAGGAACCUUGUGUGGGUAGGAAGUAUCCAUGGAACUUUGUGUGGGUAGGAAGCAUAGGAACUGUGUGUGGGUAGGAAAUAUGGGAACCAUGUGUGGGUAGGAAGUAUAGGAACUGUGUGUGGG
Mizuhopecten yessoensis (Yesso scallop) is the source of this 435-nucleotide long non-coding RNA. RefSeq lists it as uncharacterized. NCBI's taxonomy places the organism in Eukaryota, Metazoa, Mollusca, Bivalvia, Pectinida, Pectinidae. The transcript is spliced from 3 exons. The record is from RefSeq and is a predicted model, not a curated record.